AGUUUGCAAUGGGGAAUGCAAAAGGUAAGAGUGAUUCUUGCUACAGAAAUUUUUGAAAACAAGAAAGAUAAAGAAGUUAUAAAAAAGGUGGAUACUGUAAGGAAGUGGCAGAAUUUUAGGAGCCAAAAUGGUGAGUUUAGCUGUUGUAAUCCUACAAGUCUCAUGGGAGAUAUCAAGAAGGGAAAGGAAGAAAAUUAAACCACCAAAUGGUAUUGUGAUCUUAAAGGAACAAACAUGGGAAAUUGGGAGAAGAGAAAGGAAGAAAAUUAACUCUUUGUCAUAAGUGUUCAUACUUUUAGCUGAUGAGAAGGAUGUACCUAAAACUUCCAGCCAAUUUUUUUUUUGGGUCAUUCAAUUCAUAUUUCCAGCUGCAAACGAGCAAGUACCUGCAAUUUCAGUUCAUAUUUCCUGAAUUUUCACAUUCUUGGGGACAAGAAUGUGCUCAUGGGGGAAGGUAUUGUUACGUAUAGCAGAGCUAGAUAUGGGAAAGGAAAAAAUAGGAAUGCAGCUGUAGUUGUGUGAGGAGAGUAGAGUAGUUAUUGUAGAGAGAGUGUUUGCUAUAUAAAUAAGAGAAAUGUACUAGAGGA
RNAcentral lists this unclassified non-coding RNA (587 nucleotides) under Hevea brasiliensis (rubber tree). Lineage: Eukaryota; Viridiplantae; Streptophyta; Magnoliopsida; Malpighiales; Euphorbiaceae. The record is from RNAcentral.